This 387-nucleotide ribosomal RNA is filed under the name uncultured bacterium. Its description in RNAcentral is "bacterial SSU rRNA". It matches the Rfam family "Bacterial small subunit ribosomal RNA", at positions 28 to 409 of the family's 1533-position model. The record is from RNAcentral.
GACGAACGCUGGCGGCGUGCUUAACACAUGCAAGUGGAGCGACGAACCGGGGCUUGCCCCGGGGCAGAGCCGCGAACGGGUGAGUAACACGUGGGUAACCUGCCUCAAUGAUUGGGACAACCCGGGGAGACUCGGGCUAAUACCAAAUGUGUUCACUCCUUUUAAGGGGAGUGAGGAAAGGAAGCUUCGGCCUCCGCAUUGAGAUGGGCCCGCGGCCCAUUAGCUUGUUGGUGAGGUAACGGCUCACCAAGGCUUCGAUGGGUAGCUGGUCUGAGAGGACGAUCAGCCACACUGGGACUGAGCCACGGCCCAGACUCCUACGGAGGCAGCAGUGGGAAUCUUGCACAAUGCGCGAAAGCGUGAUGCAGGCAACGCCGCGUGGGGGAA